This 467-nucleotide ribosomal RNA is filed under the name uncultured bacterium. Its description in RNAcentral is "partial 16S ribosomal RNA". It matches the Rfam family "Bacterial small subunit ribosomal RNA", at positions 28 to 506 of the family's 1533-position model. The record is from RNAcentral.
GACGAACGCUGGCGGCGUGCUUAACACAUGCAAGUCGAACGGAAAGGCCCUGCUUUUGUGGGGUGCUCGAGUGGCGAACGGGUGAGUAACACGUGAGUAACCUGCCCUUGACUUUGGGAUAACUUCAGGAAACUGGGGCUAAUACCGGAUAGGAGCUCCUGCUGCAUGGUGGGGGUUGGAAAGUUUCGGCGGUUGGGGAUGGACUCGCGGCUUAUCAGCUUGUUGGUGGGGUAGUGGCUUACCAAGGCUUUGACGGGUAGCCGGCCUGAGAGGGUGACCGGCCACAUUGGGACUGAGAUACGGCCCAGACGCCUACGGGAGGCAGCAGUGGGGAAUAUUGCACAAUGGGCGGAAGCCUGAUGCAGCAACGCCGCGUGCGGGAUGACGGCCUUCGGGUUGUAAACCGCUUUCGCCUGUGACGAAGCGUGAGUGACGGUAAUGGGUAAAGAAGCACCGGCUAACUACGU